AUGUGUGACCUGUUUUGGCUGUCGCCCGGCGAGCAAGGAGAUCUCUCCGAUGUCGUGAGAGCAAGCCUGCACCCGCCUCAUCAGCUGCCAACCCCGGCUGCCGACGACGAGGAGGAGGAGGAGUACAGCUCGCUGCUGCUGGAAGGAGGAAGUGGUGGAGGCGGCCUGGUCGUCGGCCAUGGCGAUGAGCAGCUGGGGAUGGUGGCCAUGAUGAUGGGCGGCAACAUUACCCGGCCUCCUUCGUCUGAUCAUCACGUGAUCUCGCUGCAUUCACCGCCGGCGACGACAUAUACGCGGCCGCAUCCAGAGUCGCUGGCCGGGAUGCUUCGUCGGCCGGGCAUCGAGAGGGAAGGCGACAUGGUGGUCGCGCCGCCGCCGGAGAUAGGCGACCGUCUGCAGCACAUGUCGAUCGUCCAUCACCAUCGUGUACCAGCUGCAAUGAAACCAAGGAAGAGCCAGUCGAAGAAGGUGGUGUGCAUUCCGGCGCCGACGGCGGCGCCGGGGGCGAGCGGCCGGCAUAGCACGAGCGGCGAGGUGGUGCCGUCGGACCUGUGGGCGUGGAGGAAGUACGGGCAGAAGCCCAUCAAGGGGUCGCCGUACCCGAGGGGCUACUACCGCUGCAGCAGCUCCAAGGGGUGCCCGGCGAGGAAGCAGGUGGAGCGCAGCCGCACCGACCCCAACAUGCUCGUCAUCACCUACACCUCCGACCACAACCACCCGUGGCCGACCCAGCGCAACGCCCUCGCCGGAUCAACCCGCCCCUCCUCCGCCGCCGCCACCGCCAAGAUGGCCACCUCCUCUUCCUCUUCAUUGGCGGUCGCGGCAGCUCGUAACAGUAGCAACACCAACGUCGACGUCGACUGUGCUGGUGCUCACCAUCAGCUGAAGCAAGAGAGCGACCUGGACCUGUUCGCGGACAUGGACGCCCUCAACGUCUUCUCCUCCAUCGACAAGAUCCAGGAAGAUGACAGCAAGCAGCAGCUGUUUGAUCCUUUCAGCUCCGGCUUCUGCGACUACAUCUAA
RNAcentral lists this ribosomal RNA (1023 nucleotides) under Triticum aestivum (bread wheat). RNAcentral's name for it is "partial small subunit ribosomal RNA". The record is from RNAcentral. Lineage: Eukaryota; Viridiplantae; Streptophyta; Magnoliopsida; Poales; Poaceae.